Molecule: non-coding RNA, 81 nt
Organism: Brevundimonas diminuta ATCC 11568
Lineage: Bacteria; Pseudomonadati; Pseudomonadota; Alphaproteobacteria; Caulobacterales; Caulobacteraceae
Source: Rfam
GCGUCUUGCCCUUCCUGGGCGUUUCCUCCCUAUAGACUUUCCAAAGCCGCGCCGUUUGGCGCGGCUCUUUUUUUCGUCUCG